This 72-nucleotide transfer RNA is filed under the name Candidatus Calescibacteriota bacterium. RNAcentral's name for it is "Candidatus Calescamantes bacterium (hot springs metagenome) tRNA-Pro". It matches the Rfam family "tRNA". Rfam says of the family: Transfer RNA (tRNA) molecules are approximately 80 nucleotides in length. Their secondary structure includes four short double-helical elements and three loops (D, anti-codon, and T loops). The record is from RNAcentral. Lineage: Bacteria; Candidatus Calescibacteriota.
CGGGGCGUGGCGCAGGGGUAGCGCAUUGGCAUGGGGGGCCAAAGGUCGCCGGUUCAAAUCCGGUCGCCCCGA